This is a long non-coding RNA of Oryzias melastigma (Indian medaka), 616 nucleotides long. RefSeq lists it as uncharacterized. The record is from RefSeq and is a predicted model, not a curated record. The transcript has 2 exons. Lineage: Eukaryota; Metazoa; Chordata; Actinopteri; Beloniformes; Adrianichthyidae.
CUUCCAGAGAAAGUCCUGAACCUCUGAUGUCAAUCAAUGUCUGGGUGUGAUGAGCCCAGUAGGCCACAGGGGGCAGUGCAACAUCCAGCAGGUUGUGUUGUCUCAGCAAGUACAAGAAACUCUGGACCUUUGGUGGUUCCCUGCAUCAGGCUGUUGGCAGGAGAAACCUUUUGUCAAACCUUUUUGAUUCUGAUGGAGCUUCCAGAUCGGAACUUUGUACACACAAACUAAAAGAAAACCUUCACUAUCCUCAUGGACAACAAACCCUGCAGUAACACAUGCGUACCUCUAGGUAGGACUGAUGGAGCCUGAGCAAAAAGCCUCAGAAACAGCUGGCCUCCACACUCACCUUAGACAACAAGGUCAUAAACUGUAGCUGAUACUGUUUUUAUCUGCCUGGACGUUCUUGUUUUCUCUAGUCCCCCUUUAAUGUUUAUUUAAGGAAUGUUGCACAAGCAAUUUUCAACCACGGUUUUUAAAAUACCUUUUAUUGUCCAUGUAUUUUUUAGUGAUAUUGUUAUCAUAAACAUCACAUUAUCAUUGUGAACCAACAUCAGCGAGAAGAAAACAAAGCAUUUUAAUAUGAUAACAAUUGAUAAAUGUCUGCACCAAUGAA